GAGUUUGAUCCUGGCUCAGAACGAACGCUGGCGGCGUGCCUAACACAUGCAAGUCGAACGAGAAAGGGGCUUCGGCCCUGAGUAAAGUGGCGCACGGGUGAGUAACACGUAGGUAACCUGCCUCUAAGAUUGGGAUAACCUGUCGAAAGACGAGCUAAUACCAAAUAAGACCACAGUUUCCUCGGAAGCAGAGGUCAAAGGUAGCCUCUAUUUAUAAGCUAUCGCUAAGAGAUGGGCCUGCGCACCAUUAGCUAGUUGGUAGGGUAACGGCCUACCAAGGCAAAGAUGGUUAGCUGGUCUGAGAGGAUGAUCAGCCACACUGGAACUGAGACACGGUCCAGACUCCUACGGGAGGCAGCAGUGGGGAAUAUUGCGCAAUGGGCGAAAGCCUGACGCAGCAACGCCGCGUGAGUGAUGAAGGCC
RNAcentral lists this ribosomal RNA (423 nucleotides) under uncultured delta proteobacterium. RNAcentral's name for it is "bacterial SSU rRNA". It matches the Rfam family "Bacterial small subunit ribosomal RNA", at positions 9 to 416 of the family's 1533-position model. Lineage: Bacteria; Deltaproteobacteria. The record is from RNAcentral.